Molecule: ribosomal RNA, 253 nt
Filed under: uncultured Dehalobacterium sp.
Lineage: Bacteria; Bacillati; Bacillota; Clostridia; Eubacteriales; Peptococcaceae
Description: partial 16S ribosomal RNA
Rfam family: Bacterial small subunit ribosomal RNA
Source: RNAcentral
UACGUAGGGAGCAAGCGUUGUCCGGAAUUACUGGGCGUAAAGGGCGCGUAGGUGGGCGCUUAAGUCAGGUGUGAAAACUCCGGGCUCAACCUGGAGACUGCACUUGAAACUGGGUGUCUUGAGGGCAGGAGAGGAAAGUGGAAUUCCUAGUGUAGCGGUGAAAUGCGUAGAGAUAUGGAGGAACACCAGUGGCGAAGGCGGCUUCCUGGUCUGCAACUGACACUGAGGCGCGAAAGCGUGGGGAGCAAACAGG